GGAAUCAGUUCAACGUCGAGGUCGGCAGAAGUGACAAGCUUUCCCUGCCUGGCUUUGAGAACCUCACAGCAGGAUAUAACAAAUUUCUCAGGCCCAAUUUUGGUGGAGAACCCGUACAGAUAGCACUGACUCUGGACAUUGCAAGUAUCUCUAGCAUUUCAGAGAGUAACAUGGUAAGCGCUGUUCCUUUGUACUCUACCCAAGUAGUCCCUCUCUGUGUGUUUAAAGGGGAUAUGCUUUCUAGCCGCUCAAAAAAA
Molecule: small RNA, 257 nt
Filed under: Pan troglodytes (chimpanzee)
Lineage: Eukaryota; Metazoa; Chordata; Mammalia; Primates; Hominidae
Description: retained intron
Source: RNAcentral